This 287-nucleotide long non-coding RNA is filed under the name Elaeis guineensis (African oil palm). RNAcentral's name for it is "long non-coding RNA (EGUI_LNC054482)". Lineage: Eukaryota; Viridiplantae; Streptophyta; Magnoliopsida; Arecales; Arecaceae. The record is from RNAcentral.
UUGGCUGUAAAACCCCCCCAGCCGAAGUUCGUAUCAGGAGUGACCCCACGGGGAUUCUAUCGGCGUCCGACCUGCGACGGCAGGGAGACUUCGUCUGGACUCCUACGGGAGCCGGACGUCGUCCCCAACUCCAACUACAGGGAGGCUUCGUCGGACUCCUACGGGGGCCGGACUCCGUCUCCAACUUCAACUGCUGGUAAACUUCAUCCAGACUCCUACGAGAGCCGGACUCCGUCUCCAACUUCGACUGCAGGCAAAAUUCGUCCGGACUCCUAUGGGAGCCGGAC